This 927-nucleotide ribosomal RNA is filed under the name uncultured bacterium. RNAcentral describes it as "bacterial SSU rRNA". It matches the Rfam family "Bacterial small subunit ribosomal RNA", at positions 28 to 929 of the family's 1533-position model. The record is from RNAcentral.
GACGAACGCUGGCGGCGUGCCUAAUACAUGCAAGUCGAACGCUGCUUAAGAAGAAACUUCGGUUUUUUCUUAAGCGGAGUGGCGGACGGGUGAGUAACACGUGGGGAACCUAUCUAUCAGCGGGGGAUAACACUUGGAAACAGGUGCUAAUACCGCAUAUGGCUUUUUUUCACCUGAAAGAAAGCUCAAAGGCGCUUUACAGCGUCACUGAUGGCUGGUCCCGCGGUGCAUUAGCCAGUUGGUGAGGUAACGGCUCACCAAAGCAACGAUGCAUAGCCGACCUGAGAGGGUGAUCGGCCACACUGGGACUGAGACACGGCCCAGACUCCUACGGGAGGCAGCAGUAGGGAGUCUUCGGCAAUGGACGCAAGUCUGACCGAGCAACGCCGCGUGAGUGAAGAAGGUUUUCGGAUCGUAAAGCUCUGUUGUCAGCAAAGAACAGGAGAAAGAGGAAAUGCUUUUUCUAUGACGGUAGCUGGCCAGAAAGCCACGGCUAACUACGUGCCAGCAGCCGCGGUAAUACGUAGGUGGCAAGCGUUGUCCGGAUCUAUUGGGCGUAAAGCGAGCGCAGGCGGUGAUUUAAGUCUGAUGUGAAAGCCCCCAGCUCAACUGGGGAGGGUCAUUGGAAACUGGAUCACUUGAGUGCAGAAGAGGAGAGUGGAAUUCCAUGUGUAGCGGUGAAAUGCGUAGAUAUAUGGAGGAACACCAGUGGCGAAGGCGGCUCUCUGGCCUGUAACUGACGCUGAGGCUCGAAAGCGUGGGUAGCAAACAGGAUUAGAUACCCUGGUAGUCCACGCCGUAAACGAUGAGUGCUAAGUGUUGGAGGGUUUCCGCCCUUCAGUGCUGCAGUUAACGCAUUAAGCACUCCGCCUGGGGAGUACGACCGCAAGGUUGAAACUCAAAGGAAUUGACGGGGGCCCGCACAAG